This 336-nucleotide unclassified non-coding RNA is filed under the name soil metagenome. RNAcentral describes it as "partial contains 5.8S ribosomal RNA, internal transcribed spacer 2, and large subunit ribosomal RNA". The stretch from base 1 to 120 matches the Rfam family "5.8S ribosomal RNA", at positions 35 to 154 of the family's 154-position model. The record is from RNAcentral.
GAUGAAGAACGCAGCGAAAUGCGAUAAGUAAUGUGAAUUGCAGAAUUCAGUGAAUCAUCGAAUCUUUGAACGCACAUUGCGCCCGCCAGUAUUCUGGCGGGCAUGCCUGUUCGAGCGUCAUUUCAACCAUCAAGCCCCAGGCUUGUGUUGGGGACCUGCGGCUGCCGCAGGUCCUGAAAACCAGUGGCGGGCUCGCUGUCACACCGGGCGUAGUAGAUUUUAUCUCGCUCAGGGCGUGCUGCGGGUUCCGGCCGUUAAAAAGCCUUUUUUACCCAAGGUUGACCUCGGAUCAGGUAGGAAGACCCGCUGAACUUAAGCAUAUCAAUAAGCGGAGGA